AUUGAACGCUGGAGGUAUGCUUAACACAUGCAAGUCGAACGUGAAAGCCUUCGGGUGAGUAGAGUGGCGGACGGGUGAGUAACGCGUAGGAAUCUACCUAUUAGUGGGGGACAACAUGGUGAAAACCAUGCUAAUACCGCAUGUGCACUACGGUGUAAAGAGGGCUUCGGCUCUUGCUAGUAGAUGAGCCUGCGUCGGAUUAGCUAGUUGGUAAGGUAAAGGCUUACCAAGGCGACGAUCCGUAGCUGGUCUGAGAGGAUGAUCAGCCACACUGGGACUGAGACACGGCCCAGACUCCUACGGGAGGCAGCAGUGGGGAAUAUUGGACAAUGGGCGCAAGCCUGAUCCAGCAAUACCUCGUGUGUGAAGAAGGCCCUAGGGUUGUAAAGCACUUUCAAUUGGGACGAAGGAUGUGUAGUUAAUACCUGCAUGUCUUGACGGUACCUUUAGAAGAAGCACCGGCUAACUCCG
This 471-nucleotide ribosomal RNA is filed under the name uncultured Gammaproteobacteria bacterium. Its description in RNAcentral is "bacterial SSU rRNA". It matches the Rfam family "Bacterial small subunit ribosomal RNA", at positions 30 to 505 of the family's 1533-position model. Lineage: Bacteria; Pseudomonadati; Pseudomonadota; Gammaproteobacteria. The record is from RNAcentral.